Long non-coding RNA from Lytechinus pictus (painted urchin), 1679 nucleotides. RefSeq lists it as uncharacterized. The record is from RefSeq and is a predicted model, not a curated record. The transcript is spliced from 2 exons. NCBI's taxonomy places the organism in Eukaryota, Metazoa, Echinodermata, Echinoidea, Temnopleuroida, Toxopneustidae.
AGGUGAACCACACAAACGGUGAGAAGAGGUAGAAAGAAAGAGGGGGACAGCAACUGGAAGGAGAUGGAAGUCCAGACACUCUGCCACUGUGUGCCAUUGAACAAGAAAUCUCUCUUUGGAUAAGGGGGUCAAGCUUCUAGUAUGAAGAUUGUUCAAGAGUCAAGACUUUUGAAGACGUGACGCCAUGGACCUGGUUGCACCUGGCAAGGGAACUAUAUGACCAUGAUGACUGUUCACUGACUUAAGUAUUCUCUAAACGCUUUGUAAAAUUAACAAAAGUACUCAUUUUCAUUUUUCAAAGAUAAUAAUCAUUAUAUUGAUAUUGUGGAUACCUUUUUAUGAUUUUUAUCAUAAAAUUAUUAUAAUGAUAAUGAUGAUAAGUCAUAAUACAAAGGAACAAUAAGUAGAAAAGAAGGCGACAAAGAAGGAAGAGGAGAAGAAGAUUAUGAAGAAAUAGAAGAGGAGGGGUGGAAGAGGAAAAAAGGAGAAUAAGAAUAAAUUACAUCACUGUGAGUUCCUCUUCAUGAAAUCUUACAGAAAUCUUUCUCUUUUAAAUGGAAAUAUUUAUUAAGCAUACAAAUGCGAUAUAGUUAUUCAUGUUUUUUUUUUAAUGUAUUAUGUGUCAUGUUUGUAGUUGUACACUUGAUUUAGGUAUUGUAUUCAUUUAGGAUAUGAAUAAUAUAUUUCAUUUGAAUCGACACUGUAAAAAAAAAUAGUUGAAAUGACUGUAUAAAAUUGUGGCAAAAAAUUACUUAAAUUUUUUCCAGUAUUUAUGAGUUUGGCAGUUUUAAGUAAAAUUUACAUUUUUUUCUUUGCAUCCAUUUUUACUCAAGAAAAUUAAGUUACAAUAACUUAAUUCAAUUAAGUAAAACAAUCACUAAAAUAUUUGAAAAAAUCAAAUGGGGGAGUGGACUUUCGUGAUUAAAAAGUCCGCUCCCCCCAUCGUCCCACUUUUAGUGGCAUCAUUUUCAUCUUAGACAUCUUUUAUCCAAAUAUUAGACUUUGUGCAUUGUCACUUACCUGUACAUGUAUAGGUACUGACAGAUAUUUAUACGCGAUCGUUUCAUUCUUACAAAUAAAACAAUGAGAAUAAUAUAAGCAUUUUCCGAAAACCUAAAAAGAAAUCUGAAAUUUUCUGCUAAAUUUAAUGUUGCUCAAUCUUUAAUUCAACAAAAGAAUAAAAUGCACACCCUUAUCCAAAACAAUUUCAAACACAAAUAGAUAGGCCUAUGACAGUAAAAAUAAAAAUGACUUGCUCUAAUGAAUAUUCAUGCAUUAUUUCAAUAAGGCGUUAAUUGAAAAUAUAAGUACAUUCAACAUGAUUUUAUAAGUAAUAAUCAUCUUUGCCUAAUUAAGUUAGAUUCACUCAAUUGAAGCAAGCUAGCAGUACGUGAAUUUUCUUAAAUGUAUAUUGAACCCAAAUAAAUCAAGUAAAUUAAAAGACAAGUUGAAACUACUUUAAAAAAGCAAAAAAUAAUUAUGAAGUAUAAUUUUUUCUUAUAUUUUAUACAUUAAGUGUUAACAACUGAUUAAGAAAUAUUUUUGUAUGUGUAUGUACCUCUUUUAAUCAUGUUUAUACAGUCAUGAUUAAAGGACAUGGGACAGGUGAAAAGAUUAUAUUGUUUUACAAAUUUUGGUGUGUAUUUAUUUUAAAAGUAAUAAAUUUACACAAAAUGUCA